GGGCCUGUAGCUCAGUCGGCAGAGCAUCGGACUUUUAAUCCGCGGGUCGAGGGUUCGAUCCCCUCCGGGCCCAC
Molecule: transfer RNA, 74 nt
Filed under: Brachybacterium conglomeratum
Lineage: Bacteria; Bacillati; Actinomycetota; Actinomycetes; Micrococcales; Dermabacteraceae
Description: tRNA-Lys
Rfam family: tRNA
About the family: Transfer RNA (tRNA) molecules are approximately 80 nucleotides in length. Their secondary structure includes four short double-helical elements and three loops (D, anti-codon, and T loops).
Source: RNAcentral